Molecule: long non-coding RNA, 1575 nt
Organism: Vicia villosa (hairy vetch)
Lineage: Eukaryota; Viridiplantae; Streptophyta; Magnoliopsida; Fabales; Fabaceae
Exons: 4
Source: RefSeq, a predicted model, not a curated record
ACACGUUCUCUCUCAUCAUUCACCUUCACCUCCACCUCCACCUCCCUUAUCUAAAAACCCUAGCCGCCACUCCUCACCACCUCCACCACGACCAACACCAACAUAAUGACCAACACUCCCACCAAAUUCAUUGUCACCGGUCACCACUACUACUCAUCAUCACCACGUUUUUGUAACUCAUCCUCACAAAACACAAAUCCAACAUAUAUUUCACAAAUCAAAAAAAGAAAUCAUUCAUCAUCUUGACAGUCUAUUAUUCAUGGCUUGUUUCUAGUUGUUUGUAAGCUCUUCAACCAACUUCAAAAUUCUGCAUAGAGUAUGUUUAUUUGUGGAGUUUGAUUCGUCUUCAGUCACCUUCAAAAUGCUGCAUAGAGGUUGCUAAUUAGGUGGUGUUGAUUUCAAAUCCUAAGUUACCUUCUUAAGAACCGUUCUAAUAAAUCAAUCAUGCUUCUCUUAGUUUAGAAGAGAUCAUGAUACUUGUGUUUUUCUCUUUCAAACAGAGACUAGAAGAAUCGUCGGUCAUGCCAACUUCUAGAAAUUGCUCUGGUAUGAAUUUCUUUAUCUCACAAUUUAUUUGCUCAUUCUAGGAAUUUUAAGUUAAAUUAUGUAAUGGUUGUUAAAUUGUACUGGUUCAAUAUCUAACUAGAGUUUUAAGUUAUGUGACUAGGAAUUUUUCAAAUAUUGAUAUCUAUCUACUGUGAUGCUAAACUAUGUAGUCCGUUUUCCACACAUGCACUUAUAUUAUUGAAAUGAAAUGUAUGAUAAGAAAGAUGUUAUGUACCAAGCUUAAGUAAAUAAUCUCCUAAAAACAAGAACGUUUUGUAAAGUAUAUGGUUAGCUUAGUUUUGAGGAAUGUCAAACUGCUAUGCCUAAUUUCUAUGAUUAUGGAAAUCUUCUUGUCCUUUUUGUGUGUAUAAUGUAGCUGAGAAAUGGAGUUUACUAAAAUGAUUGGUCAGUCAUGGAAUUGUCUCAGUCCUUUAGAAAUAAUGGUAAUUAAAAGGGUCAUUUCAUUUUAAUGUUGUUGUUUUUAUCUUAAUAAUAAUUGGUCUUUCUAUGGAAACUUGUUAUUGAAGUUAAGAAUUUUGGUUUUGGUUAGAGUAUAUGCAAUGAUUAUAAUAUCUUAAUAUUGCAUAAACCAGUUGAAUAUGUUUUGUUCUGUUUUUUCCAAUUAGCUACAGAAAAUUCCUCCAUUUAUUGUCUUAUUGUGUGCAAGCUGUUGAUCUAUUUUUCAGUCUUAAAGUUUCAAUGAAGUUUAAAUAAACCAUUAGCUUAUUAUGUGGAAUUCACAAUGCUAUUCAAGUUUAUGCAAAUCUGAUGGUUAAUGAUUUAGAUUGAUGUAGAAUAGCCAUUAAUGCAAAGGGGAUGAAGAUCAGCAAAGUUGAUGAUGAUCAACAAUUAUCUAAAAUUGAUGGAGUUUAAAUGUUACAUUAAUUAUCAAUUUUCAAUGUUAUAUUUUUUAUCUAGGAUUUUAAUUUGUAUUGGCAAUUUAAUAUCAUUAAAGUUAUUGAUAAUUAAUAGAAUUCGAUCAUACUGGAGGCUCUGUAUUAAAUUAAUAAGUUAAUAUGCAUUAUAUCA